CUGUUCCGUUGCCUCGGCGGCCCAGGCCGCCGGGGGUACCAAAACUCAACGCUGUAUUCCGAACGUGAUCUCUGAGCUUCUAAAGCACAACAAGUCAAAACUUUCAACAACGGAUCUCUUGGUUCUGGCAUCGAUGAAGAACGCAGCGAAAUGCGAUAAGUAAUGUGAAUUGCAGAAUUCAGUGAAUCAUCGAAUCUUUGAACGCACAUUGCGCCCGCCGGCAUUCCGGCGGGCAUGCCUGUUCGAGCGUCAUUUCAACCCUCAGCCCCCCCGGGGCUGGUGUUGGGGCGCCCGGUGAAGCCCCGCCCCGCGGCCUGCUCCCGCAGCGCCGUGGGCGGGCGCCGGGGCCCCCAAGUCCAUCGGCGGGCUCGCCCGGACCCUGAGCGCAGUAGCACUGUCAAACGCUCGGAGGCUCCGCGGCGGGUACCCGGCCGCUAAACCCACCAACUUCACCAGAAGGUUGACCUCGGAUCAGGUAGGAAUACCCGCUGAACUUAAGCAUAUCAAUAAGCGGAGGAAAAGAAACCAACAGGGAUUGCCCCAGUAACGGCGAGUGAAGCGGCAACAGCUCAAAUUUGAAAUCUGGCCCCCCGGGCCCGAGUUGUAAUUUGCAGAGGAUGCUUUCGGUGCGGCCCCUUCUGAGUCCCCUGGAAUGGGGCGCCACAGAGGGUGAGAGCCCCGUAUAGUCGGACGCCAAACCGGUGUAAAGCUCCUUCGACGAGUCGAGUAGUUUGGGAAUGCUGCUCUAAAUGGGAGGUAAAUUUCUUCUAAAGCUAAAUAUAGGCCAGAGACCGAUAGCGCACAAGUAGAGUGAUCGAAAGAUGAAAAGCACCUUGAAAAGAGGGUUAAACAGUACGUGAAAUUGUUGAAAGGGAAGCGCUUGUGACCAGACUCGCGCCCGGCGGAUCAUCCAGCGUUCUCGCUGGUGCGCUCCGCCGGGCUCGGGCCAGCAUCGGUUUCCGCCGGGGGACAAAGGCGCCGGGAACGUGGCUCCCUUCGGGGAGUGGGUAGCCCGGCGUGCAAUGCCCCGGCGGGGACCGAGGACC
RNAcentral lists this ribosomal RNA (1046 nucleotides) under fungal sp. F504. RNAcentral's name for it is "eukaryotic LSU rRNA". The stretch from base 462 to 1046 matches the Rfam family "Eukaryotic large subunit ribosomal RNA", at positions 1 to 595 of the family's 3401-position model. The record is from RNAcentral. Lineage: Eukaryota; Fungi.